UACGAAGGGGGCUAGCGUUGCUCGGAAUCACUGGGCGUAAAGCGCACGUAGGCGGAUUGCUAAGUCAGGGGUGAAAUCCCGGGGCUCAACCCCGGAACUGCCUUUGAUACUGGGUAUCUCGAGUCCGGAAGAGGUGAGUGGAAUUCCGAGUGUAGAGGUGAAAUUCGUAGAUAUUCGGAGGAACACCAGUGGCGAAGGCGGCUCACUGGUCCGGUACUGACGCUGAGGUGCGAAAGCGUGGGGAGCAAACAGG
This 253-nucleotide ribosomal RNA is filed under the name uncultured bacterium. Its description in RNAcentral is "partial 16S ribosomal RNA". It matches the Rfam family "Bacterial small subunit ribosomal RNA", at positions 524 to 776 of the family's 1533-position model. The record is from RNAcentral.